This 425-nucleotide ribosomal RNA is filed under the name uncultured bacterium. RNAcentral's name for it is "partial 16S ribosomal RNA". It matches the Rfam family "Bacterial small subunit ribosomal RNA", at positions 354 to 796 of the family's 1533-position model. The record is from RNAcentral.
GUGGGGAAUAUUGCACAAUGGGCGAAAGCCUGAUGCAGCGACGCCGCGUGAGCGAUGAAGUAUUUCGGUACGUAAAGCUCUAUCAGCAGGGAAGAUAAUGACGGUACCUGACUAAGAAGCACAGGCUAAAUACGUGCCAGCAGCCGCGGUAAUACGUAUGGUGCAAGCGUUAUCCGGAUUUACUGGGUGUAAAGGGAGCGUAGGCGGCGUGGUAAGUCAGAAGUGAAAGCCCGGGGCUCAACCCCGGGACUGCUUUUGAAACUAUCAUGCUAGAGUGUCGGAGAGGUAAGUGGAAUUCCUAGUGUAGCGGUGAAAUGCGUAGAUAUUAGGAGGAACACCAGUGGCGAAGGCGGCUUACUGGACGAUAACUGACGCUGAGGCUCGAAAGCGUGGGGAGCAAACAGGAUUAGAAACCCUGGUAGUCC